Oncorhynchus gorbuscha (pink salmon) is the source of this 985-nucleotide long non-coding RNA. RefSeq lists it as uncharacterized. Lineage: Eukaryota; Metazoa; Chordata; Actinopteri; Salmoniformes; Salmonidae. The record is from RefSeq and is a predicted model, not a curated record. The transcript has 5 exons.
GCAGUUGAGUGAAAUUUCCGGGUGAUGGGGAAAUCAAAUCCUUCGUCGUUUGUGGGCUAAUCAUGAAGAAUAUCGUCUGCAUAAGUGCUUGACUUGGGCCGGAGUACCAGCACCUAAAAUGUUCUACUGCUAAAGCGCCUGUUCGUCUUAUAGAAUAUUAGCUCAUAAGUAUUGUAUUGUGCUUCUGCACCUCAAUGUAAACCGCAGAAAAUGAGUAGCCUACCGGCACCUAUUUAAGUCCAAGGUCAAGCACUGCCUGUCUGACAAAGAAUUCGGAAGACACACACGGUGGAGAGGAUUGGAUUUGUGAAGACACUGAUGGGGUUGCACAGCUGCACGGAGGGAGCAAAAGCCGAUUUCCCCCUCUGCACCUCCCCAUCCCCACAAUGGGACUACCGCCUCUCUCCCUCUCUUUCUCUCUCUCUCUUUCCGAGGAGUGGGGGUGGGGGCUGCCAUAUGGGAGCUCAGAAACAUGGAGUGGAUCCGAGGAGGGAGAGAGGGGAAUCUUUUUCCUCCUGGCGCUGGAUGUGGUGCUCUGCUCUGCGAAGUGAGUGAGAAAUGACCAUGGGUGACUCCUUACCCUGAAAGGCACACGAUCAACAAGACCGAAGAGGAGGAGGUAGCGGAGGUGUAGGGGAGGGGGUGGCAGAAGGGAGGCUGUUCCUCAGACGGCGCAGAGCAGCUCUCUUCUCGUCUCCCCUCAUCAUUGGUAUGCAGUGACUGUUCCCCAGGCGACAGGGCCACUGGGUUGGGGCUAAACUGACUGCAGGAGAGUCACGUCUACAAAGUAAAUGAGAGGAGAGCAAGACAGCAGGGAUCCCUACAGCCUACAGGAUAAGUUAAACCCAGGUGAUAUAUAAUAAACCCCACAUAGUGUUGUAACAAUUUGAUUUCCACUUCUCUGGUAAAGUUUUUAUUCCCUGCUCAUGUAUUGGUUGAGUAGGCAUUGGUUGGUGGAGGUGAAUUAGCAAUAAAUAUCCUAGGU